AACGAACGCUGGCGGCAUGCUUAACACAUGCAAGUCGAACGCACCUUCCGGGGUGAGUGGCAGACGGGUGAGUAACGCGUGGGAAUCUACCCUUGUCUACGCGAGAGCUCCGGGAAACUGGAAUUAAUACCGUAUAUGUUCUGAGGGAGAAAGAUUUAACGGGGAAGGAUGAGCCGGCGUUGGCUUAGCUAGUUGGUGGGGUAAAGGCAUACCAAGGCGACGAUCCAUAGCUGGUCUAAGAGGAUGAUCACCCACAUUGGGAAUGAGACACAGCCGAAAAUGCUACGGGAGGGAGCAGUAGAGAAUAUUGGACGAGGGGCGCAAGCCUAAUGAAGCCAUGCCGGGUAAGUGGGGAAGGAAGUAGGGAUGUAAAGCUCUUUCAGAGGGGACGAUAAUGACGGUACCGACAGAAGAAGCACCGGCUAACUACGUG
This 433-nucleotide ribosomal RNA is filed under the name uncultured bacterium. RNAcentral describes it as "partial 16S ribosomal RNA". It matches the Rfam family "Bacterial small subunit ribosomal RNA", at positions 30 to 507 of the family's 1533-position model. The record is from RNAcentral.